GGAGGCAGUAUAGCCAGUGGUGAAAUUGCAUCUUAAGCGGCCCUUUAAGUUCCAAUGCAUUUCCACAAGGACAGUGCUAAUGGCUCAACCGAGCUUGAGUUGAGCUCCCUGUGCUUGGCCAUGAUGGUACUGAACCUCAUCGAGGAGAGCAAUGGAAAGCAAUCGUUCACUGCAGUAAGUCGUGGCCAGAAUCGCUGCAUCUACUCUGAAAGGAAUUGUAAUUACUGCUUGGAAGACAAAUUCGAAUC
This 248-nucleotide unclassified non-coding RNA is filed under the name Hevea brasiliensis (rubber tree). Lineage: Eukaryota; Viridiplantae; Streptophyta; Magnoliopsida; Malpighiales; Euphorbiaceae. The record is from RNAcentral.